Molecule: ribosomal RNA, 489 nt
Filed under: uncultured bacterium
Lineage: Bacteria
Description: partial 16S ribosomal RNA
Rfam family: Bacterial small subunit ribosomal RNA
Source: RNAcentral
GACGAACGCUGGCGGCGUGCUUAACACAUGCAAGUCGAACGGUGAAGGGACCAGCUUGCUGGUUCUGGAUGAGCGGCGAACGGGUGAGUAACACGUGCGUAACCUGCCCCCUUCUCCUGGAUAACCGCAUGAAAGAGUGGCUAAUACGGGAUAUUCUGGGUCUGUCGCAUGGCGGGCCCGGGAAAGAUAUUGCUUCGGUGGGGGAUGGGCUCGCGGCCUAUCAGCUUGUUGGUGGGGUGAUGGCCUACCAAGGCGGUGACGGGUAGCCGGGCUGAGAGGGUGGACGGUCACACUGGGACUGCGACACGGCCCAGACUGCUACGGGAGGCAGCAGUGGGGAAUAUUGCACAAUGGGCGCAAGCCUGAUGCAGCGGCGCCGCGUGAGGGAUGGAGGCCUUCGGGUUGUAAACCUCUUUCGCCAGUGAAGCAGGCCUGCUCCUUGUGGGUGGGUUGACGGUAGCGGGAUAAGAAGCGCCGGCUAACUACGUG